RNAcentral lists this ribosomal RNA (544 nucleotides) under uncultured bacterium. RNAcentral's name for it is "bacterial SSU rRNA". It matches the Rfam family "Bacterial small subunit ribosomal RNA", at positions 774 to 1316 of the family's 1533-position model. The record is from RNAcentral.
AGGAAAUAGAUACCCGGGUAGUCCACGCUGUAAACGAUGAGAACUAGAUGUUGUGAGGGGAACCUCUCAGUAUCGAAAGCUAAACGCGAUAAGUUCUCCGCCUGGGAAGUACAUUCGCAAGAAUGAAACUCAAAAGAAUUGACGGGGGCCGCACAAGCGGUGGAGCAUGUGGUUUAAUUCGAUGCAACGCGAAGAACCUUACCUACCCUUGACAUCCUGCGAAUCCCGAUGAGAGUUGGGAGUGCCGCAAGGAACGCAGAGACAGGUGCUGCAUGGCUGUCGUCAGCUCGUGUUGUGAGAUGUUGGGUUUAAGUCCCGUAACGAGCGCAACCCUUGCCCUUAGUUGCCAGCAUUAAGUUGGGGACUCUAAGGGGACCGCCGGUGAUGAACCGGAGGAAGGCGGGGUACGACGUCAAGUCAUCAUGGCCUUUAUGGGUAGGGCUACACACGUGCUACAAUGGGGCGUACAGAGGGUCGCCAACCCGCGAGGGGUAGCCAAUCUCUUAAAGCGUCUCGUAGUCCGGAUUGGAGUCUGCAACUCGAC